RNAcentral lists this ribosomal RNA (252 nucleotides) under uncultured bacterium. RNAcentral describes it as "partial 16S ribosomal RNA". It matches the Rfam family "Bacterial small subunit ribosomal RNA", at positions 524 to 776 of the family's 1533-position model. The record is from RNAcentral.
UACGGAGGAUGCGAGCGUUAUCCGGAUUUAUUGGGUUUAAAGGGUGCGUAGGCGGAAUAUCAAGUCAGCGGUAAAAAUUCGGGGCUCAACCCCGUCGUGCCGUCGAAACUGAUGUUCUUGAGUGGGCGAGAAGUAUGCGGAAUGCGUGGUGUAGCGGUGAAAUGCAUAGAUAUCACGCAGAACUCCGAUUGCGAAGGCAGCAUACCGGCGCCCAACUGACGCUGAAGCACGAAAGCGUGGGUAUCGAACAGG